UACGUAGGGUGCGAGCGUUAAUCGGAAUUACUGGGCGUAAAGUGUGCGCAGGCGGCCGCGCAAGUCGAGUGUGAAAGCCCCGGGCUUAACUUGGGAAUUGCGCUCGAAACUACGUGGCUAGAGUGUGGCAGAGGGAGGUGGAAUUCCACGUGUAGCGGUGAAAUGCGUAGAGAUGUGGAGGAACACCGAUGGCGAAGGCAGCCUCCUGGGCCAACACUGACGCUCAUGCACGAAAGCGCGGGGAGCAAACAGG
Molecule: ribosomal RNA, 253 nt
Filed under: uncultured bacterium
Lineage: Bacteria
Description: partial 16S ribosomal RNA
Rfam family: Bacterial small subunit ribosomal RNA
Source: RNAcentral